This 313-nucleotide ribosomal RNA is filed under the name uncultured Glomus. RNAcentral's name for it is "SSU rRNA". It matches the Rfam family "Eukaryotic small subunit ribosomal RNA", at positions 569 to 888 of the family's 1831-position model. The record is from RNAcentral. Lineage: Eukaryota; Fungi; Glomeromycota; Glomeromycetes; Glomerales; Glomeraceae.
AGCAGCCGCGGUAAUUCCAGCUCCAAUAGCGUAUAUUAAAGUUGUUGCAGUUAAAAAGCUCGUAGUUGAAUUUCGGGACUAAUAUGUCGGUCGUGCCUCGGUACGAACUGGUUUAUUGGUUUCUCCUUUCUGAAGAACCAUGAUGUCAUUUAUUUGGUGUCGUGGGGAAUCAGGACUGUUACUUUUGAAAAAUUAGAGUGUUUAAAGCAGGCUCACGCUUGAAUACAUUAGCAUGGAAUAAUGAAAUAGGACGUUUGAUUCUAUUUUGUUGGUUUCUAGGAUCGACGUAAUGAUUAAUAGGGAUAGUUGGGGG